GAUGAACGCUGGCGGUGUGCCUAAUACAUGCAAGUCGAGCGAACAUAUGAGGAGCUUACUCCUCUGACGUUAGCGGCGGACAGGUGCGUAACACGUGGAUAACCUACCUAUAAGACUGGGAUAAAUUCGGGAAACCGGAGCUAAUAGCGGAUAACAUGGUGAACCGCAUGGUUCAACAGUGAAAAACGGUCUUACUGUCACUUAGAGAUGGAUCCGCGUCGCAUUAGCUAGUUGGUAAGGUAACGGCUUACCAAGGCAACGAUGCGUAGCCGACCUGAGAGGGUGAUCGGCCACACUGGAACUGAGACACGGUCCAGACUCCUACGGGAGGCAGCAGUAGGGAAUCUUCCGCAAUGGGCGAAAGCCUGACCGAGCAACGCCGCGUGAGUGAAGAAGGUCUUCGGAUCGUAAAACUCUGUUAUUAGGGAAGAACAAAUGUGUAAGUAACUAUGCACGUCUUGACGGUACCUAAUCAGAAAGCCACGGCUAACUACGUG
This 497-nucleotide ribosomal RNA is filed under the name uncultured bacterium. RNAcentral's name for it is "partial 16S ribosomal RNA". It matches the Rfam family "Bacterial small subunit ribosomal RNA", at positions 28 to 507 of the family's 1533-position model. The record is from RNAcentral.